This 302-nucleotide ribosomal RNA is filed under the name uncultured bacterium. RNAcentral describes it as "partial 16S ribosomal RNA". It matches the Rfam family "Bacterial small subunit ribosomal RNA", at positions 508 to 807 of the family's 1533-position model. The record is from RNAcentral.
GCAGCAGCCGCGGUAAUACGAAGGGUGCAAGCGUUAAUCGGAAUUACUGGGCGUAAAGCGUGCGUAGGCGGUUUGUUAAGUCUGCUGUGAAAUCCCCGGGCUCAACCUGGGAAUGGCAGUGGAUACUGGCAAGCUAGAGUGUGUCAGAGGAUGGUGGAAUUCCCGGUGUAGCGGUGAAAUGCGUAGAGAUCGGGAGGAACAUCAGUGGCGAAGGCGGCCAUCGGGGACAACACUGACGCUGAGGCACGAAAGCGUGGGGAGCAAACAGGAUUAGAGACCCCCGUAGUCCCUGUCUCUUAUAC